GAAGGUGUAGCUCAGUGGUAGAGCACAUGCUUAACAUGCACGAGGUCCUGGGUUCAAUCCCCAGUACCUCCA
This 72-nucleotide transfer RNA is filed under the name Camelus bactrianus (Bactrian camel). It matches the Rfam family "tRNA". Rfam says of the family: Transfer RNA (tRNA) molecules are approximately 80 nucleotides in length. Their secondary structure includes four short double-helical elements and three loops (D, anti-codon, and T loops). Further hydrogen bonds mediate the characteristic L-shaped molecular structure. tRNAs have two regions of fundamental functional importance: the anti-codon, which is responsible for specific mRNA codon recognition, and the 3' end, to which the tRNAs corresponding amino acid is attached (by aminoacyl-tRNA synthetases). tRNAs cope with the degeneracy of the genetic code in two manners: having more than one tRNA (with a specific anti-codon) for a particular amino acid; and 'wobble' base-pairing, i.e. permitting non-standard base-pairing at the 3rd anti-codon position. The record is from Rfam by way of RNAcentral. RNAcentral also lists the same sequence under 2 other names. Lineage: Eukaryota; Metazoa; Chordata; Mammalia; Artiodactyla; Camelidae.